ACUGCACCAAAAUUCCCUAUUCUCUCAAAAGCUCUCUAAAGCCACUCGAAACCCUAGCCGCCUGUCAUCAUCUUCGACCAAACCCACCGGCGUCCAUGGCUUCCCAGGACAUGGACAUCCUAUAUCCUCUUACCUUCACCCCAAACCAUGGUUUUUUGAAGUUUUCGAGGUCCGAUCUUCAACAGAAACCCUAAAAAAAGCUUGUUCGAGGUUCUAUAUUUCCUUGUUUUAUUAGAUCUAUAACCGAUCUGUGUUCUACUCAAUGUUUUAAGGACUUUGCCCAAUAUUUCCUUUUAAAAUCAGUCUGUUCAAAAUUAGGGUUUUCAAAAAUCCUAUGACGAUUCUUCUUCUUUUUCUUUCUUUGUGUGAAUAUGUGUGUCCAUGUCAUACUUAUGUAUUUUCGUUCGUUUUUAUGCAUGUGUUUACUCCUUUAUUGGUUCUACUUGUUUGAUUCACACGUUUAUCUUGCAUGACCUUCUACUGUUUCUCCUACUAAGAUUAUUUGCCUUUAAUGGAAUCAUUUGGUUUCUAAUCUUGCUUCUUUUACUACUUCCUAAAUUUCUAUGGCAUCUCUUCUCUUUUCUGACUUCACUUGGGUUCUGAGCUUUCUCUUAAGCUCAUCCUUCGCAACUUUGUCACUCUACUGCUUUUGA
This 653-nucleotide long non-coding RNA is filed under the name Nicotiana benthamiana. Its description in RNAcentral is "long non-coding RNA (NBEN_LNC013172)". The record is from RNAcentral. Lineage: Eukaryota; Viridiplantae; Streptophyta; Magnoliopsida; Solanales; Solanaceae.